RNAcentral lists this ribosomal RNA (399 nucleotides) under Triticum aestivum (bread wheat). RNAcentral describes it as "partial small subunit ribosomal RNA". Lineage: Eukaryota; Viridiplantae; Streptophyta; Magnoliopsida; Poales; Poaceae. The record is from RNAcentral.
AUGGGAAGCCAAACCCACGGAUAUUGUGCAGUUGCUCUGGCAUGUGUUACUAGUAACGAAACACUCUGCUUUCUCAGAAAUUUAUGCAACAAAGAUGAUGUUGCGGGAGGACUUCUGCAACAAGGUUCUUGUUGCGAAAAGUAUAAAAUGCAUCACCGGCCGGAGGCACAGCGGAGGGUGAGAUGGGAGGCUGGAACUACGCAGCUGGGCCGAUGGUGGCCAGAACGGUGGGUGUGUGCACUCGAGUGGUGGCCAUGGCUGCAAGCAGGGAUAAUGAGGCGGGGAAGGAGAUGCAAUGCUCGUGAUGUUUCUACAGAAGGGGCACGUGCUGCUUCGGGCCAUAAGGAGAUGUGUCUGCAGAUGGAGAAGAUUGAUGCAAUGGUAGCAUCCGCCGGCUGA